GGUGAUUUGUUAAAAUUAACAGAAGAUACUCAGCUCUCCAAAAAUGGCUUCUUGCAUCAUGCGCAGGUCUUGCUGCUGAGAAAUAGCUGGAGAGGAGCAUGUCUCUCCAUGUACCAAGGAGAAAGAUGAGCAUGAAGGAUCGCUUGAUGGAAGAGUGUGUCUGAGGAUCAGAGGACAGUUCCCAGCAAUCAGUAAAAAAUGGAGAAUGCACUAGAGGUCAGCUCAGCCUCGUUCAUUCUAGACAUGGGCCUUAAGCCAGUCCUCUUACCAUAUAGGAAGCAGAAGAAAGAAGCUAAUUAACAGACCAGGUCAUGCCGGUUUGCCAGAUUCUCUCCAAUGGAGUCUCGAG
Long non-coding RNA from Oxyura jamaicensis (ruddy duck), 349 nucleotides. RefSeq lists it as uncharacterized. The transcript is spliced from 3 exons. The record is from RefSeq and is a predicted model, not a curated record. Lineage: Eukaryota; Metazoa; Chordata; Aves; Anseriformes; Anatidae.